AUUGAACACUGGCGGCAGGCUUAACACAUGCAAGUCGAGCGGGGUGAUGGUGCUUGCACUAUCACUUAGCGGCGGACGGGUGAGUAAUGCUUAGGAAUCUGCCUAUUAGUGGGGGACAACAUCUCGAAAGGGAUGCUAAUACCGCAUACGUCCUACGGGAGAAUGCAGGGGAUCACUUGUGACCUUGCGCUAAUAGAUGAGCCUAAGUCGGAUUAGCUAGUUGGUGGGGUAAAGGCCUACCAAGGCGACGAUCUGUAGCGGGUCUGAGAGGAUGAUCCGCCACACUGGGACUGAGACACGGCCCAGACUCCUACGGGAGGCAGCAGUGGGGAAUAUUGGACAAUGGGGGGAACCCUGAUCCAGCCAUGCCGCGUGUGUGAAGAAGGCCUUAUGGUUGUAAAGCACUUUAAGCGAGGAGGAGGCUCUUUUGGUUAAUACCCAAGAUGAGUGGACGUUACUCGCAGAAUAAGCACCGGCUAACUCUGUGCCAGCAGCCGCGGUAA
RNAcentral lists this ribosomal RNA (503 nucleotides) under uncultured bacterium. Its description in RNAcentral is "partial 16S ribosomal RNA". It matches the Rfam family "Bacterial small subunit ribosomal RNA", at positions 30 to 523 of the family's 1533-position model. The record is from RNAcentral.